RNAcentral lists this non-coding RNA (31 nucleotides) under Homo sapiens (human). Lineage: Eukaryota; Metazoa; Chordata; Mammalia; Primates; Hominidae. The record is from RNAcentral.
CGAAACAAGGGCCUGUACUUGUGGGGCUGUA